AUUGAACGCUGGCGGCAGGCCUAACACAUGCAAGUCGAGCGGCAGCACGGGAAGCUUGCUUCCUGGUGGCGAGCGGCGGACGGGUGAGUAAUGCAUAGGAAUCUGCCCGGUAGUGGGGGAUAACCUGGGGAAACCCAGGCUAAUACCGCAUACGCCCUACGGGGGAAAGCAGGGGCGUCUUCGGACCUUGCGCUAUCGGAUGAGCCUAUGUCGGAUUAGCUGGUUGGUGAGGUAAUGGCUCACCAAGGCGACGAUCCGUAGCUGGUCUGAGAGGAUGAUCAGCCACAUCGGGACUGAGACACGGCCCGA
Molecule: ribosomal RNA, 309 nt
Filed under: uncultured bacterium
Lineage: Bacteria
Description: bacterial SSU rRNA
Rfam family: Bacterial small subunit ribosomal RNA
Source: RNAcentral